RNAcentral lists this ribosomal RNA (501 nucleotides) under uncultured bacterium. RNAcentral's name for it is "partial 16S ribosomal RNA". It matches the Rfam family "Bacterial small subunit ribosomal RNA", at positions 30 to 523 of the family's 1533-position model. The record is from RNAcentral.
AUUGAACGCUGGCGGCAUGCCUUACACAUGCAAGUCGAACGGCAGCACGGGUGCUUGCACCUGGUGGCGAGUGGCGAACGGGUGAGUAAUACAUCGGAACGUACCUUAUCGUGGGGGAUAACGCAGCGAAAGCUGUGCUAAUACUGCAUACGCCCUGAGGGGGAAAGCGGGGGAUCGAAAGACCUCGCGCGAUUAGAGCGGCCGAUGCCUGAUUAGCUUGUUGGUGGGGUAAAAGCCCACCAAGGCGACGAUCAGUAGCUGGUCUGAGAGGACGAUCAGCCACACUGGGACUGAGACACGGCCCAGACUCCUACGGGAGGCAGCAGUGGGGAAUUUUGGACAAUGGGGGCAACCCUGAUCCAGCAAUGCCGCGUGAGUGAAGAAGGCCUUCGGGUUGUGAAGCUCUUUUGUCAGGGAAGAAACACCGGCUCUAACACAGUCCGGGAAUGACGGUACCUGAAGAAUAAGCACCGGCUAACUACGUGCCAGCAGCCGCCGUAA